RNAcentral lists this ribosomal RNA (481 nucleotides) under uncultured bacterium. Its description in RNAcentral is "bacterial SSU rRNA". It matches the Rfam family "Bacterial small subunit ribosomal RNA", at positions 329 to 803 of the family's 1533-position model. The record is from RNAcentral.
GAGAUAACUCCUACGGGAGGCAGCAGUGGGGAAUUUUGGACAAUGGGGGCAACCCUGAUCCAGCAAUGCCGCGUGAGUGAAGAAGGCCUUCGGGUUGUAAAGCACUUUUGGCAGGGAAGAAGCGGUAGUAGCUAAUAUCUAUUACUAAUGACGGUACCUGAAGAAUAAGCACCGGCUAACUACGUGCCAGCAGCCGCGGUAAUACGUAGGGUGCAAGCGUUAAUCGGAAUUACUGGGCGUAAAGCGUGCGCAGGCGGUUGUGUAAGUCAGAUGUGAAAUCCCCGGGCUCAACCUGGGAAUUGCAUUUAAAACUGCACAGCUAGAGUGUGGCAGAGGGGGGUAGAAUUCCACGUGUAGCAGUGAAAUGCGUAGAGAUGUGGAGGAAUACCGAUGGCGAAGGCAGCCCCCUGGGAUAACACUGACGCUCAUGCACGAAAGCGUGGGGAGCAAACAGGAUUAGAAACCCUAGUAGUCCUCCACU